ACGUAGGGUGCGAGCGUUAAUCGGAAUUACUGGGCGUAAAGCGUACGCAGGCGGCUGGGUAAGACAGGUGUGAAAUCCCCGGGCUUAACCUGGGAAUGGCGCUUGUGACUGGCGGGCUGGAGUACGGCAGAGGGGGGUGGAAUUCCACGUGUAGCAGUGAAAUGCGUAGAGAUGUGGAGGAACACCGAUGGCGAAGGCAGCCUCCUGGGAUGACACUGACGCUCAUGCACGAAAGCGUGGGGAGCAAACAG
Molecule: ribosomal RNA, 251 nt
Filed under: uncultured prokaryote
Description: partial 16S ribosomal RNA
Rfam family: Bacterial small subunit ribosomal RNA
Source: RNAcentral